GGCACAAUGGGCCAAUUUGUCUAGCUGUUAACUAGGAGGUUGGUGGUUCAAGCCCACCCAGGGACA
Podarcis lilfordi (Lilford's wall lizard) is the source of this 66-nucleotide non-coding RNA. NCBI's taxonomy places the organism in Eukaryota, Metazoa, Chordata, Lepidosauria, Squamata, Lacertidae. The record is from the annotation of a GenBank genome assembly.